Helianthus annuus (common sunflower) is the source of this 816-nucleotide long non-coding RNA. RefSeq lists it as uncharacterized. Lineage: Eukaryota; Viridiplantae; Streptophyta; Magnoliopsida; Asterales; Asteraceae. The transcript has 2 exons. The record is from RefSeq and is a predicted model, not a curated record.
UCUCGCUCGCUCUCUCUAUAUAUAUAUUUAUAUUCUUUUUUUCCUUUUAAUAUUUUACCAAUAAUACUCCAAAGCUCUGCCCCGUUUUAAGUGUUUUAACCCCUGAUCACUGAUACCCUUUCCGAUUAAUCUAGGGCCCCGUAACGCAUGUCAAGGCUCUGCCCGACUAAGUUCGUUGGGGUUCUGUCUCGUGACGUAGGGAUAAAGUUGAAUUGGGUUACUAUACUUAACACGAGUACAUUAUAUGUUUUAUUAAAAACCUCAGGAGUUAUACCUAAGAUUCUACAAGGAGGCUUUUAGUUGAACCCUAAAGUUACAAAGUAAUUUGCUGUAAAGAUAAUAGUAGCCAGCUAUGGAGCACUGAAGGCUUAAAUAAAGUGGCUAUGAAUACCUGAAUAAAAGAAGAAAUUAUGUUUUAUUUAUUUGGGUUUAUCCCUAUAAAAACAAUUGAAUUAAAUAUGGGUUUGAGCCCAUUUAUUUAAUAUUAAAGUUGGUUUUUUUAUAAACUCUGAAAUUAUUUCCUAACUACGAUCCUAAUGAAAAAAAAUUUUCCGCUACGUAUUUAAUAAACACCGGUACCAUCUGACUGGUUCGCGGCUCCCGCUCCCGGGGUGGGGUCGGGGGCUCUGAUAGUGAACCGAUCAUAGAUCGAUACAAUGUCUGAUUAACAGGGCUUCCCUCAGGUUCCUCAGUCAACAACGGCCGCUCUGCAAUUGGGGAGUCUAUCGACUUUGAAUCUGUCAUGCUGAAAUUUGCAAGAACGUCGUAUACAUAUUUACUCUGAUGAAUCAAGAUUCCUUGGUUACUCUGACGUAC